GUCCCACAUCAGCCGCAGACCUCAAGGACACUGCCUCUCAGCCCAGGCCCCUUAGGUUCUUCAGAAAAAAGAAUUUAAGUCAAGACACGAUUUGUUUUCAGGUUGCAAGUAACGGGUCAGCUGAGCGUCGCGCCGUCCUCCUGCCCCAGCCGCUGGUGUAUGGUAGACGGGGCUGCUGGGGUGGAAGCCCAGCCGCUCCCGGGCCCAGGCCUACUGCCUGCUGUUGUUGUCGGACAGCUGGCUGGGGGUCCGCGCCUCAGCCAGGGAGGUGGUGCCCUCGAAGCGCUGCGAGGCGAUGGCUGCCUGGUGGGACAUGCUCUUCCUUACGAUGUCACCUUUCCGCCACAACACCACUUCCUGCAGAAUUGGGUGGGGGGGGAUGUGACACCCUGAGAGAGGCGUGUGGGGGGGCCCAGGGGCUCCAGCCCUCCCCGGGCAUCUUGGCAAAACCUCCUGCAGGUCAGCAGCUGCCUGUCUGCACCCCCCCGCCCGGGGCUCCCAAUGGGGGCACGAAGGGCAGAGGGGUCGCAGGCCUGGGCCUGGGCAAGCGGACUCAACGUGUCACAUGGGAACCCUGGUUCUCACCGCGGGCUCAGCCUCCGUGGACCACCAGGGGGCGUGGAGACGAGCAAACUCUCCAGGCCCUGCCCUUCCUGUCAGGGUCUCACCUGCUGUUUGAAAUAGCGCCGCUCCUCCUCAUCUAUGAGCACCAGGUUGAGGUAAUAGCGCACUGAGAACUUCUUGUUGAUGUCCCGCAUGGUGGGGGUGAGCUCGUAGCCCGCCAGGAAGAGCCGGAUUGGGAUGGACUCUCCUGUGAGGGCCAGGCACACGUCAGGGAAGGGGCAACGGAGCCCACCCUCCUGACACCAGCAGGGGAGGCGCCCCGAGCAUCUCACGGCACACUUGAGGCAACGUUCCUGCCUGUCGGGGACUCGCAGUCGGCAGCUCAGUGACCUGCUGAAGCAAAACCUGACACUGCGCUGCUCCCCGUCCAGGUCCCGCUGCACCUUCUCUCACCGCCGGGAAACCAAGAUCCGUGCGUAGGAAGAGCGCAGGACGCUACGGCCAAGCACCCUUAAGGGGACGUGUCACCGUCUAGUUGUCGGGUGUUCACAGGCCCAGGGUCAAACUCACUCCUGUCACCCAGCAAUUUUGGUGCCACCGUCCUCCACCCUAAAUACUGCAUGUUCCCCAACAUACACCUCCGCUCCGAGGGAAAACAGCAGCGGCUCUCCCUGCAGAGCCGGUGAAAACAUGGCACACCCGGGGAGUCAGGAGCGCUCAGCCCUGUCCCCCAGGGGGCCUGUCCUGGUGACACCCAAGAGCCUGCUAUCCUGGUCUCCUCCUUCCACACGGAACACAGGGGAACAAGCUGAAUAAAACCUUGGCAUAACCGAGCACUUCUGGAGGGAAGAAAACACUCCUCGUGAUCAGUGGCUGCAGAGCUAGCAGCACGUAAAACGACUGCUACUCCCAAAUAACCAGGUUCCCCAAACACCCAGGCUUUCAACUCCAUUCGUUCCAGAUGUCACGUCAGCUCUGGGGGUGGGUGGGGCGGCCGUCUGUCCCGUUCCCUGCUCUGCGGCACCUGCUAGGGCUGCCCAGACUGUCUACACUUGGCAAAUGCAUGCAGGGAGUGGAUCAUUUUGCCAGAACCAGAAGUAAGGAACACACGUGAUUAUUCCACAUUACCCUCUUGGUCCCUAGCAACAGAGAAUGUCAACAGGAAGUAGUGAAAUGUUCCCACUGUAUCUGCUACACCAGCACUUUUCAAGCUUUUGUAGUAGUUGUUUUCUAAGAGGCAUCGCUCCUGAGAUGCCAUCUGUGCUAUGAGCUCCGUAGGCAGACAAGGCCAAUCUCCUGGUGAAGGUGGGGAAGGAGCUCGCACAUAUCAGCCCUUGUCCUCUUUACUGGCACCCAGUGAACUUCCGGAGAUGAGAAAUGACAGGUGAAUAGGGAAUCUUAGUCUAGCACUAAAGUCCCUCGUGCCCUCCAACACUCUGUGGUGCCUGGGGAGCGGGUAAGGCUGCUGCGGGCUGGGUGCCUGGGUGCUCACCUCUCACGGGCGCCCCGUCCAUGAUCUCAUACUUGGCUAUCGUGUCGUUCUCGUGGUACACGUUGGGGCCUGUGCCUGUCGUUUCCCGCUUGAUGAUAUCUAUCUCCAUGUGCUUGAUUUUGAUUCUCACCAACAGGAAGUAGAUCUUUCCUACAAUAACAUCUUUCAAGUGGUAUCUGGGAGAGAGAAAGCCCAGAGAGUAAGAUGUGUCCUGAGUUGUGGGAGGACAGCCCCACCAAUCCAGGUCUUGCUCUUUCUCCCUGAGCUCCACAACAGGUCUUCUGGGAACUGGCCCUCAAUAGCCUGCAGCAGAGCAGUCCAGGGAAGAGCAGGAGAGCAAGAUGCAGGCAUCACUCACACCCCAUCAGCACCUUCUCCCUGCGCCCUGCUCACACGGCUGGUGCUUGGGAGCUGCUGUGGACUUGGCCAUGCCUAACAACGGUUCUGACCCUCCAAGAGUUUCUGAGUCAGCGUGGGGCACCAGUGGUCUGCGCACGCACAGCCCUGUAUCAGGCAGAGACAAAAAUCUUCAAAUCUGAAGCUCAGAUUCAUGGGACAGGGUGUUCCAGGGACUUCAGGAUUUAACCUCCACAUAUUACGGGUGAAGAAGAGGAAGUUCAAAGAAGACAGACACUUGAACCAGGAUCUGAGUAGGGGACAGAGAUGUGAGCCCAGGUACCCAAUUCCUAGGCCUGCGUCCGCCCUAUUUCAUGCUGCCUUUCUUCUUACAGUCUAACUGGGAAACCCGCACUCAGUAGAUAACCUAAGAAUGGAGGCUGCUCCAAGCAUUUAAGAAGGAAUGCUGAGAGAUCAUAGAUUCUAGGGGUUUUCAAACUUUGGUAAACAGAACUUUCCUUUAUUCUAAAUGAAAUGCUAUGUGGAAACAUUAACAUGUGAGAAACCCCAGUGCAGGGCCCACGAUCCUGCGCCCUGCUCUUCUUUCAUUUCAUGUUUUCUAUGUUUAAACCCCACUACCCUGUCUCCACUUUUCAGAGGAGAAAGCCAAGGCACAAACAUGUUAACAUCUGCUGACCUUCACGCAAGGGCAAUCUUAGUGGCAGGAUGGGACUGUGCUCUAGGCCCACCCAGUAGACAGAGCCCUGCCCAGCAUGGCCUGCUCUGAGAGGGCACGAAGGGGCUGAGCAUCCAGCCCGAGCUCAUGGGAUGGACUCUCUUGGCCCUUUCACACCACACUUGGUCUUGAGCACACUGCUGACCGACGGCUUUCUGAGCUCCUACAAGGUGGCACUGCCUCCCGGCCACCCCUUUUUACCAGGCGGCGGGAGCGCUGGCUGGGCAGGCACUGCUGGUGGGCUCCUUUCCAGAGCCCGGAGACUGAGGAGGAAGGCAAAGAAGGCUGUUUGCUCGUAUGUCCCUGCCUGGCCCAGACCAACCUCCCUCCAGCCUGCCCCACCCCAGUCCACAUGUGGGGCCCAGCCAAGCAGGAGCCCUUCUGGGUCAUGAGUGGUUCCAGGCCAGGGGGCAGGGGAACAAACAGGCCCCCCCUCACCCCUGUUCUAGGAAGCACAUACGUUGCUAGUUUUUUGAAAAGCCCUAUUUCCAACCCUUCACAGGAGAGCCAACAGGUCAGCCCCACUGCCCUGAACCCCUGGGUAACAGUGGAUCUGACCUGAGUGUCUGCCCAGUAAGAGCCCUAGACUCCUAAUUUCUUGUUUUAGCUCUGAAUACACUUUUACUUCUGCUGAUUUUCAAACACUUUCAGGAACGUUUGAUACUGAAAAGAAAGAUGCUUGUGGGGACGCCUGGGGGGCUCAGUGGCUCAGUGUCUGCCUUCGGCUCAGGUUGUGAUCCCAGGGUCCCGGGAUCGAGUCCCACGUCGGGCUCCCUGCAGGAAUCCUGCUUCUCCCUCCACCUGUGU
Long non-coding RNA from Canis lupus familiaris (dog), 3935 nucleotides. RefSeq lists it as uncharacterized. The transcript has 3 exons. Lineage: Eukaryota; Metazoa; Chordata; Mammalia; Carnivora; Canidae. The record is from RefSeq and is a predicted model, not a curated record.